GAUCCUGGCUCAGGACGAACGCUGGCGGCGCGCCUAACACAUGCAAGUCGAACGAGAGAGAGGGAGCUUGCUUCCUCAAUCGAGUGGCGAACGGGUGAGUAACGCGUGAGGAACCUGUCUCAAAGAGGGGGACAACAGUUGGAAACGACUGCUAAUACCGCAUAAGCCCACGACCCGGCAUCGGGUUGAGGGAAAAGGAGCAAUCCGCUUUGAGAUGGCCUCGCGUCCGAUUAGCUAGUUGGUGAGG
This 247-nucleotide ribosomal RNA is filed under the name uncultured bacterium. Its description in RNAcentral is "partial 16S ribosomal RNA". It matches the Rfam family "Bacterial small subunit ribosomal RNA", at positions 15 to 257 of the family's 1533-position model. The record is from RNAcentral.